CUGAAAAUCCAGCGACCGUAAUUUGGAGCGAUUUAACAGACGAGGAGAGGGAAGGCUCCUGAGUCUGGUACGUGAGAGGAAGUCUGACCUUCUCUCCUGCAGAACGCCGCCACAGCGCAGACAACAAGCAACAAGCUUCUCCUGCUCCCGUGUGACCGCCGUCAUGAGACCAGAAAACCGUCUGACUGCCACAGGAAACACGCCACACUGGAUCACGCGCGCACACGCCAGUCUACACUGCACACUGCCGUGCGCUUGUAGAAGCGAUGACGAGGACGCGUGAGUGUGUUUGUGCCCGUGUGCUGGAGACGGUGAUGAAGGAAAGUGAGAGUAAACACCGGCGGCGUGAUCCCUCCUCCCGCUAACCUCCAUCGGCGCCGCUCCUCUCCUGCACGCCGUCUCUUCAUCAACACUCACUCGAGCAGCACAACGACCCUCUGAACACGGCGAGUCCGAACAUGAGAGACGAGUCCACCUGCGACCUACAGCAUCACGACCAACGCCAUGUCGGGUGAUGAGCGAGGUUCUCGCUGCCAUCGGCUACCCAGCGCGCACCCGCCGGCUGCUGACCUCUCCUCCGCGUACCUGAGCUUUCCACUUCAGGUGCAAAAGUCAAAACUUCCUCACUGUCAAUUUUGACAGAAGUAAAAGAGAGGAAGAAACUCUUGAAGAUUACCGAAGUGAAAUUGAUAGUUUUCGAUUGCGAGUUAUUACAUGCAAAGCGUACCCUCGCUGUGAACGCACCAUCCUGACUUGACGAGCUCCUGCAGAACCUGCGGGGACACUGGGCUCGAAGGCGUCCUCGUCCACAAAGACCUGCGUGUCGUUGCUCAUAGUUCUCAACGUAAAGCCCGAGUCGUUAGUUCAAGGUGAUCCUGCAGCACGGUGCUGGUCGACCUACACUGUGUUUCAGGGGGGAUUUAGAGUCAAGGAGAAGUUAAGUCUAUUCAGGAGUAGCGCUGGAUUUACAGACACAUCGCUGUGGGAGUAACGGGGUG
Gasterosteus aculeatus aculeatus (three-spined stickleback) is the source of this 998-nucleotide long non-coding RNA. NCBI's taxonomy places the organism in Eukaryota, Metazoa, Chordata, Actinopteri, Perciformes, Gasterosteidae. The record is from Ensembl.